UAACACCUGGAAACAGAUGCUAAUACCGGAUAACAACAGAUGAUGCCUAUCAACUGUUUAAAAGAUGGUUCUGCUAUCACUCUUGGAUGGACCUGCGGUGCAUUAGCUAGUUGGUAGGGUAACGGCCUACCAAGGCGAUGAUGCAUAGCCGAGUUGAGAGACUGAUCGGCCACAUUGGGACUGAGACACGGCCCAAACUCCUACGGGAGGCAGCAGGCCCUAAGGCGAGGCAGCAGAC
RNAcentral lists this ribosomal RNA (238 nucleotides) under uncultured Lactobacillus sp. Its description in RNAcentral is "partial 16S ribosomal RNA". It matches the Rfam family "Bacterial small subunit ribosomal RNA", at positions 144 to 354 of the family's 1533-position model. The record is from RNAcentral. Lineage: Bacteria; Bacillati; Bacillota; Bacilli; Lactobacillales; Lactobacillaceae.